Molecule: ribosomal RNA, 84 nt
Filed under: Klebsiella pneumoniae
Lineage: Bacteria; Pseudomonadati; Pseudomonadota; Gammaproteobacteria; Enterobacterales; Enterobacteriaceae
Also listed under: 4 other names
Source: RNAcentral
UCUGGUGACAAUGGCAAGGAGGUCACACCUGUUCCCAUGCCGAACACAGAAGUUAAGCUCCUUAGCGCCGAUGGUAGUCGGACU